GGUGGCUCAGUGGUAGAGUGCUUGCCUAGCAUGCAUGAAGCCCUGGGUUCAAUUCCUCAGUACCG
Molecule: transfer RNA, 65 nt
Filed under: Dipodomys ordii (Ord's kangaroo rat)
Lineage: Eukaryota; Metazoa; Chordata; Mammalia; Rodentia; Heteromyidae
Rfam family: tRNA
About the family: Transfer RNA (tRNA) molecules are approximately 80 nucleotides in length. Their secondary structure includes four short double-helical elements and three loops (D, anti-codon, and T loops).
Source: Rfam by way of RNAcentral